This 465-nucleotide ribosomal RNA is filed under the name uncultured bacterium. Its description in RNAcentral is "partial 16S ribosomal RNA". It matches the Rfam family "Bacterial small subunit ribosomal RNA", at positions 28 to 507 of the family's 1533-position model. The record is from RNAcentral.
GACGAACGCUGGCGGCGUGCUUAACACAUGCAAGUCGAACGGAAAGGCCCCUUUGGUGGUACUCGAGUGGCGAACGGGUGAGUAACACGUGAGUAACCUGCCCUUGACUUCGGGAUAACUUCAGGAAACUGGGGCUAAUACCGGAUAGGAAUCCUUGCUGCAUGGUGGGGGUUGGAAAGCUUCGGCGGUUUUGGAUGGACUGGCGGCGUAUCAGCUUGUUGGUGGGGUAGUGGCUUACCAAGGCUUUGACGGGUAGCCGGCCUGAGAGGGCGACCGGCCACAUUGGGACUGAGAUACGGCCCAGACUCCUACGGGAGGCAGCAGUGGGGAAUAUUGCACGAUGGGCGGAGGCCUGAUGCAGCAACGCCGCGGGCGGGAUGACGGCCUUCGGGUUGUAAACCGCUUUCAGCAGGGGCGAAGCUUGUGGUGACGGUACCUGCAGAAGAAGCACCGGCUAACUACGUG